AUUGAACGCUGGCGGCAUGCCUUACACAUGCAAGUCGAACGGCAGCACGGGUGCUUGCACCUGGUGGCGAGUGGCGAACGGGUGAGUAAUACAUCGGAACGUACCUUAUCGUGGGGGAUAACGCAGCGAAAGCUGUGCUAAUACCGCAUACGCCCUGAGGGGGAAAGCGGGGGAUCGAAAGACCUCGCGCGAUUAGAGCGGCCGAUGCCUGACUAGCUUGUUGGUGGGGUAAAAGCCCACCAAGGCGACGAUCAGUAGCUGGUCUGAGAGGACGAUCAGCCACACUGGGACUGAGACACGGCCCAGACUCCUACGGGAGGCAGCAGUGGGGAAUUUUGGACAAUGGGGGCAACCCUGAUCCAGCGAUGCCGCGUGAGUGAAGAAGGCCUUCGGGUUGUAAAGCUCUUUUGUCAGGGAAGAAACACCGGCUCUAACACAGUCCGGGAAUGACGGUACCUGAAGAAUAAGCACCGGCUAACUACGUGCCAGCCGCCGCAGUAA
RNAcentral lists this ribosomal RNA (501 nucleotides) under uncultured bacterium. RNAcentral's name for it is "partial 16S ribosomal RNA". It matches the Rfam family "Bacterial small subunit ribosomal RNA", at positions 29 to 523 of the family's 1533-position model. The record is from RNAcentral.